This 492-nucleotide ribosomal RNA is filed under the name uncultured bacterium. RNAcentral's name for it is "partial 16S ribosomal RNA". It matches the Rfam family "Bacterial small subunit ribosomal RNA", at positions 29 to 507 of the family's 1533-position model. The record is from RNAcentral.
AGUGAACGCUGGCGGUAGGCCUAACACAUGCAAGUCGAACGGCAGCACCGUAAGAGCUUGCUCUUACGGGUGGCGAGUGGCGGACGGGUGAGGAAUACAUCGGAACCUACUUUUUCGUGGGGGUUAACGUAGGGAAACUUACGCUCAUACCGCAUACGACCUACGGGUGUGAGCAGUGGAUAUUCGGAGCUUGUGCGAUUGGAUGAGCCGAUGUCGGGUUAGCUAGUUGGCGGGGUAAAGGCCCAGCAAGGCGAGGAUCCGUAGCUGGUCUGAGAGGAUGAUCAGCCACACGGGAGCUGAGACACGGUCCAGACUCCUACGGGAGGCAGCAGUGGGGAAUAUUGGACAAUGGGCGCAAGCCUGAUCCAGCCAUACCGCGUGGGUGAAGAAGGCCUUCGGGUUGUAAAGCCCUUUUGUUGGGAAAGAAAAGCAGCAGGUUAAGACCCCGCGGUUCUGACGGUACCCAAAGAAGAAGCACCGGCUAACUUCGUG